RNAcentral lists this ribosomal RNA (1234 nucleotides) under Vibrio sp. INTCD24H. Its description in RNAcentral is "bacterial SSU rRNA". It matches the Rfam family "Bacterial small subunit ribosomal RNA", at positions 92 to 1322 of the family's 1533-position model. The record is from RNAcentral. Lineage: Bacteria; Pseudomonadati; Pseudomonadota; Gammaproteobacteria; Vibrionales; Vibrionaceae.
CGAGCGGCGGACGGGUGAGUAAUGCCUGGGAAUAUGCCUUGAUGUGGGGGAUAACCAUUGGAAACGAUGGCUAAUACCGCAUAAUGCCUACGGGCCAAAGAGGGGGAUCUUCGGACCUCUCGCGUCAAGAUUAGCCCAGGUGGGAUUAGCUAGUUGGUGAGGUAAUGGCUCACCAAGGCGACGAUCCCUAGCUGGUCUGAGAGGAUGAUCAGCCACACUGGAACUGAGACACGGUCCAGACUCCUACGGGAGGCAGCAGUGGGGAAUAUUGCACAAUGGGCGCAAGCCUGAUGCAGCCAUGCCGCGUGUGUGAAGAAGGCCUUCGGGUUGUAAAGCACUUUCAGUCGUGAGGAAGGUGGUAGUGUUAAUAGCACUAUCAUUUGACGUUAGCGACAGAAGAAGCACCGGCUAACUCCGUGCCAGCAGCCGCGGUAAUACGGAGGGUGCGAGCGUUAAUCGGAAUUACUGGGCGUAAAGCGCAUGCAGGUGGUUUGUUAAGUCAGAUGUGAAAGCCCGGGGCUCAACCUCGGAAUUGCAUUUGAAACUGGCAGACUAGAGUACUGUAGAGGGGGGUAGAAUUUCAGGUGUAGCGGUGAAAUGCGUAGAGAUCUGAAGGAAUACCGGUGGCGAAGGCGGCCCCCUGGACAGAUACUGACACUCAGAUGCGAAAGCGUGGGGAGCAAACAGGAUUAGAUACCCUGGUAGUCCACGCCGUAAACGAUGUCUACUUGGAGGUUGUGGCCUUGAGCCGUGGCUUUCGGAGCUAACGCGUUAAGUAGACCGCCUGGGGAGUACGGUCGCAAGAUUAAAACUCAAAUGAAUUGACGGGGGCCCGCACAAGCGGUGGAGCAUGUGGUUUAAUUCGAUGCAACGCGAAGAACCUUACCUACUCUUGACAUCCAGAGAAGCCAGCGGAGACGCAGGUGUGCCUUCGGGAACUCUGAGACAGGUGCUGCAUGGCUGUCGUCAGCUCGUGUUGUGAAAUGUUGGGUUAAGUCCCGCAACGAGCGCAACCCUUAUCCUUGUUUGCCAGCGAGUAAUGUCGGGAACUCCAGGGAGACUGCCGGUGAUAAACCGGAGGAAGGUGGGGACGACGUCAAGUCAUCAUGGCCCUUACGAGUAGGGCUACACACGUGCUACAAUGGCGCAUACAGAGGGCUGCCAACCAGCGAUGGUGAGCGAAUCCCAAAAAGUGCGUCGUAGUCCGGAUUGGAGUCUGCAACUCGACUCCAUG